This 430-nucleotide ribosomal RNA is filed under the name Enterobacter sp. R10.63. RNAcentral describes it as "bacterial SSU rRNA". It matches the Rfam family "Bacterial small subunit ribosomal RNA", at positions 87 to 513 of the family's 1533-position model. The record is from RNAcentral. Lineage: Bacteria; Pseudomonadati; Pseudomonadota; Gammaproteobacteria; Enterobacterales; Enterobacteriaceae.
GGUGACGAGUGGCGGACGGGUGAGUAAUGUCUGGGAAACUGCCCGAUAGAGGGGGAUAACUACUGGAAACGGUAGCUAAUACCGCAUAAUCUCGCAAGAGCAAAGUGGGGGACCUUCGGGCCUCACGCUAUCGGAUGUGCCCAGAUGGGAUUAGCUAGUAGGUGGGGUAACGGCUCACCUAGGCGACGAUCCCUAGCUGGUCUGAGAGGAUGACCAGCCACACUGGAACUGAGACACGGUCCAGACUCCUACGGGAGGCAGCAGUGGGGAAUAUUGCACAAUGGGCGCAAGCCUGAUGCAGCCAUGCCGCGUGUAUGAAGAAGGCCUUCGGGUUGUAAAGUACUUUCAGCGGGGAGGAAGGUGUUGUGGUUAAUAACCGCAGCAAUUGACGUUACCCGCAGAAGAAGCACCGGCUAACUCCGUGCCAGCA